GAUGAACGCUGGCGGCGUGCUUAACACAUGCAAGUCGAACGGAAAGGCCCAAGCUUGCUUGGGUACUCGAGUGGCGAACGGGUGAGUAACACGUGGGUGAUCUGCCCUGCACUUCGGGAUAAGCCUGGGAAACUGGGUCUAAUACCGGAUAGGACCACUUCUUGGAUGUUGUGGUGGAAAGUUUUUUCGGUGUGGGAUGAGCUCGCGGCCUAUCAGCUUGUUGGUGGGGUAAUGGCCUACCAAGGCGUCGACGGGUAGCCGGCCUGAGAGGGUGUACGGCCACAGUGGGACUGAGAUACGGCCCAGACUCCUACGGGAGGCAGCAGUGGGGAAUAUUGCACAAUGGGCGCAAGCCUGAUGCAGCGACGCCGCGUGGGGGAGGACGGCCUUCGGGUUGUAAACUCAUUUCGCUAGGGACGAAGCGUUUUGUGACGGUACCUGGAGAAGAAGCACCGGCUAACUACGUG
This 467-nucleotide ribosomal RNA is filed under the name uncultured bacterium. RNAcentral describes it as "partial 16S ribosomal RNA". It matches the Rfam family "Bacterial small subunit ribosomal RNA", at positions 28 to 507 of the family's 1533-position model. The record is from RNAcentral.